GGUGGUUUAGUGGUACAGUACUUGCCUUGCAUGCAAGAGGCCCUAGGUUUGAUUCCUUAGCACCA
RNAcentral lists this transfer RNA (65 nucleotides) under Dipodomys ordii (Ord's kangaroo rat). It matches the Rfam family "tRNA". Rfam says of the family: Transfer RNA (tRNA) molecules are approximately 80 nucleotides in length. Their secondary structure includes four short double-helical elements and three loops (D, anti-codon, and T loops). The record is from Rfam by way of RNAcentral. Lineage: Eukaryota; Metazoa; Chordata; Mammalia; Rodentia; Heteromyidae.